UUGAGGCUUUUUCUUUCACUGUCUCAGUCUAAUAUUCAUUUUGUUUAUGUUCUUAAGUCUAAGUAUUUUCCACUGUUUAGUUCUUGUGUUUUGGACUCCUGUUCUCCUGGAGCUUUCUGGAUAUUGGAUAUUUUAUUUUUUACCUUCCGCCUGCCCAGUGGAUAUACUGUAUAUGUCUGCUUUGAAAUGACUUCCUGAUUUUGACCCUUGCCUUCCCAAUCAACGGAUUGAACAGAAGAAUGAUCAGUGGUGGUCUCUGGCUGCUUCGAGGGGCUGGGACUCUCCAGCCGUGACCUUCUACUACUAAAGGGUUGGCACAAAUGAACCAACUCAUGAGACACGAUUAGACGGAGAGAGGGAGAUACGGGGAGACGAAGCAGAGCUCCAUCAUCAUUAUUCCACCGCAUCCCCCGGAGGAGCGAGACAGAGCCGAGACCGAGGCCGGACCGGGCUGAGGGGGGAAAACAGUGUAGAACCAGAGCACCAGGACCUGGGAAUGCACACAAGUGAUAUUUGUGUGCAGCAGAUCAAAAAGCGUUUACCUUUAGAUGUUUCCCUGAUAUGAAUAUUCAACAUCCUUAUUGAAAUCUAAUUUGGGUCUCCUUGUCUCAGGGGUCUUUUCAUCAGUGCCUGUUGCCUGAGGCCACAGCUGAUUGACAGCCAAACUUUAGUAAAGAGCAAGCAGGAAAAAAGGGGAGAUCUGGUGGUGUUGGAGAUGUGAGCGGUGUGAAGCCAGGGAGUGCUGGAGCAGAUGAG
Notolabrus celidotus (New Zealand spotty) is the source of this 756-nucleotide long non-coding RNA. RefSeq lists it as uncharacterized. The record is from RefSeq and is a predicted model, not a curated record. The transcript is spliced from 4 exons. Lineage: Eukaryota; Metazoa; Chordata; Actinopteri; Labriformes; Labridae.